This 93-nucleotide transfer RNA is filed under the name Ignavibacteriota bacterium. Its description in RNAcentral is "Ignavibacteriae bacterium tRNA-Ser". It matches the Rfam family "tRNA". Rfam says of the family: Transfer RNA (tRNA) molecules are approximately 80 nucleotides in length. Their secondary structure includes four short double-helical elements and three loops (D, anti-codon, and T loops). RNAcentral also lists the same sequence under 2 other names. The record is from RNAcentral. Lineage: Bacteria; Pseudomonadati; Ignavibacteriota.
GGAGAGAUGGCCGAGUGGCUGAAGGCAACGGUUUGCUAAACCGUCGUACUGGGUAAACUGGUACCGAGAGUUCGAAUCUCUCUCUCUCCGCUA